CAUAUGGGAUCUGAAAAUGCAAUAUAGAUGCAAUUGUCUUCCUUACUUCGGGUUGUAGUAGAGCAAGACUGUCGUGUGUGAUUCAACAGUUCUAGAGAAUCAAAGGAAAGAGGAAGGAGAAGAUGAUGCGAACGAGGUUGCUAUGGUUCACAAUAGGUCUCACUUCCGUUUCAGCUACAAUGACUCACUUCAUAUUCAAAGAUCUAUGGGCUGAUCGACUCUCUCUUUCUUCCCAAUUGAAGGAGAAAUUUAGCGUCUUGGAGACUAGGGUUUCCAGUCUUGAAGUGCUUCGUGAUAGUCCCAAUCCUCAGCAGGUAUUUUCUGGCUAAUAUUAAGGAAUAAUAU
Non-coding RNA from Nicotiana tabacum (common tobacco), 345 nucleotides. The record is from RefSeq and is a predicted model, not a curated record. NCBI's taxonomy places the organism in Eukaryota, Viridiplantae, Streptophyta, Magnoliopsida, Solanales, Solanaceae.